Molecule: ribosomal RNA, 3149 nt
Filed under: Streptomyces antnestii
Lineage: Bacteria; Bacillati; Actinomycetota; Actinomycetes; Kitasatosporales; Streptomycetaceae
Description: Streptomyces sp. San01 23S ribosomal RNA
Rfam family: Bacterial large subunit ribosomal RNA
Source: RNAcentral
ACAGUGGACGCGAGCAUCUGUGGCCAAGUUUUUAAGGGCGCACGGUGGAUGCCUUGGCACCAGGAACCGAUGAAGGACGUGGGAGGCCACGAUAGUCCCCGGGGAGCCGUCAACCAGGCUUUGAUCCGGGGGUUUCCGAAUGGGGAAACCCGGCAGUCGUCAUGGGCUGUCACCCAUGCCUGAACACAUAGGGCAUGUGGAGGGAACGCGGGGAAGUGAAACAUCUCAGUACCCGCAGGAAGAGAAAACAACCGUGAUUCCGGGAGUAGUGGCGAGCGAAACUGGAUGAGGCCAAACCAUAUGCGUGUGAGACCCGGCAGGGGUUGCGCAUGUGGGGUUGUGGGAUCUCUCUUCUGUCGUCUGCCGGCGACAGGACGAGUCAGAAACCGUUGAUGUAGGCGAAGGACAUGCGAAAGGUCCGGCGUAGAGGGUAAGACCCCCGUAGUCGAAACAUCAGCGGCUCGUUUGAGAGACACCCAAGUAGCACGGGGCCCGAGAAAUCCCGUGUGAAUCUGGCGGGACCACCCGCUAAGCCUAAAUAUUCCCUGGUGACCGAUAGCGGAUAGUACCGUGAGGGAAUGGUGAAAAGUACCGCGGGAGCGGAGUGAAAUAGUACCUGAAACCGUGUGCCUACAAGCCGUGGGAGCGUCGCUGUAUGUGCUUGCACAUGCAGUCGUGACUGCGUGCCUUUUGAAGAAUGAGCCUGCGAGUUUGCGGUGCGUUGCGAGGUUAACCCGUGUGGGGAAGCCGUAGCGAAAGCGAGUCCGAAUAGGGCGAUUCAGUAGCGCGCUCAAGACCCGAAGCGGAGUGAUCUAGCCAUGGGCAGGUUGAAGCGGAGGUAAGACUUCGUGGAGGACCGAACCCACCAGGGUUGAAAACCUGGGGGAUGACCUGUGGUUAGGGGUGAAAGGCCAAUCAAACUCCGUGAUAGCUGGUUCUCCCCGAAAUGCAUUUAGGUGCAGCGUCGUGUGUUUCUUGCCGGAGGUAGAGCACUGGAUAGGCGAUGGGCCCUACCGGGUUACUGACCUUAGCCAAACUCCGAAUGCCGGUAAGUGAGAGCGCGGCAGUGAGACUGUGGGGGAUAAGCUCCAUGGUCGAGAGGGAAACAGCCCAGAGCAUCGACUAAGGCCCCUAAGCGUACGCUAAGUGGGAAAGGAUGUGGAGUCGCACAGACAACCAGGAGGUUGGCUUAGAAGCAGCCACCCUUGAAAGAGUGCGUAAUAGCUCACUGGUCUAGUGAUUCCGCGCCGACAAUGUAGCGGGGCUCAAGCGUACCGCCGAAGUCGUGUCAUUCCAGCAUAUAGGGCCAACGCCUGCUGGGAUGGGUAGGGGAGCGUCGUGUGCCGGGUGAAGCAGCCGCGGAAGCGAGUUGUGGACGGUUCACGAGUGAGAAUGCAGGCAUGAGUAGCGAUACACACGUGAGAAACGUGUGCGCCGAUUGACUAAGGGUUCCUGGGUCAAGCUGAUCUGCCCAGGGUAAGUCGGGACCUAAGGCGAGGCCGACAGGCGUAGUCGAUGGAUAACCGGUUGAUAUUCCGGUACCCGCUGUGAAGCGUCAAACAUCGAGCAUCGUGAUGCUAAGGCCGUGAAGCCGUUCCGGACCCUUCGGGGAAAGGAAAGUGGUGGAGCCGCCGAACCAAGCGGUUAGUAGGUGAGUGAUGGGGUGACGCAGGAAGGUAGUCCAUCCCGGGCGGUGGUUGUCCCGGGGUAAGGGUGUAGGCCGGUGUGUAGGUAAAUCCGCACACCAUGAGGCUGAGACCUGAUGCCGAGCCGAUUGUGGUGAAGUGGAUGAUCCUAUGCUGUCGAGAAAAGCCUCUAGCGAGUUUCAUGGCGGCCCGUACCCUAAACCGACUCAGGUGGUCAGGUAGAGAAUACCGAGGCGUUCGGGUGAACUAUGGUUAAGGAACUCGGCAAAAUGCCCCCGUAACUUCGGGAGAAGGGGGGCCAUCACCGGUGAUCCGUUUUACACGGUGAGCUGGGGGUGGCCGCAGAGACCAGCGAGAAGCGACUGUUUACUAAAAACACAGGUCCGUGCGAAGCCGUAAGGCGAUGUAUACGGACUGACGCCUGCCCGGUGCUGGAACGUUAAGGGGACCGGUUAGUGCACUUUCGGGUGUGCGAAGCUGAGAACUUAAGCGCCAGUAAACGGCGGUGGUAACUAUAACCAUCCUAAGGUAGCGAAAUUCCUUGUCGGGUAAGUUCCGACCUGCACGAAUGGCGUAACGACUUCUCGACUGUCUCAACCAUAGGCCCGGUGAAAUUGCACUACGAGUAAAGAUGCUCGUUUCGCGCAGAAGGACGGAAAGACCCCGGGACCUUUACUACAGUUUGAUAUUGGUGUUCGGUUCGGCUUGUGUAGGAUAGGUGGGAGACUUUGAACCAGCCACGCCAGUGGUUGGGGAGUCGUCGUUGAAAUACCACUCUGGUCGUGCUGGAUGUCUAACCUCGGUCCGUGAUCCGGAUCAGGGACAGUGUCUGAUGGGUAGUUUAACUGGGGCGGUUGCCUCCUAAAGAGUAACGGAGGCGCCCAAAGGUUCCCUCAGCCUGGUUGGUAAUCAGGUGUUGAGUGUAAGUGCACAAGGGAGCUUGACUGUGAGACCGACGGGUCGAGCAGGGACGAAAGUCGGGACUAGUGAUCCGGCGGUGGCUUGUGGAAGCGCCGUCGCUCAACGGAUAAAAGGUACCCCGGGGAUAACAGGCUGAUCUUCCCCAAGAGUCCAUAUCGACGGGAUGGUUUGGCACCUCGAUGUCGGCUCGUCGCAUCCUGGGGCUGGAGUCGGUCCCAAGGGUUGGGCUGUUCGCCCAUUAAAGCGGUACGCGAGCUGGGUUUAGAACGUCGUGAGACAGUUCGGUCCCUAUCCUCUGUGCGCGUAGGAAUAUUGAGAAGGGCUGUCCCUAGUACGAGAGGACCGGGACGGACGAACCUCUGGUGUGCCAGUUGUCCUGCCAAGGGCAUGGCUGGUUGGCUACGUUCGGAAAGGAUAACCGCUGAAAGCAUCUAAGCGGGAAGCCUGCUUCAAGAUGAGUAUUCCCACCCCCUUGAGGGGUUAAGGCUCCCAGUAGACGACUGGGUUGAUAGGCCAGAUCUGGAAGCCCGGUAACGGGUGGAGGUGACUGGUACUAAUAGGCCGAGGGCUUGUCCUCAGUUG